This 1074-nucleotide long non-coding RNA is filed under the name Olea europaea (common olive). RNAcentral describes it as "long non-coding RNA (OEUR_LNC013525)". The record is from RNAcentral. Lineage: Eukaryota; Viridiplantae; Streptophyta; Magnoliopsida; Lamiales; Oleaceae.
UCUAAGAUAAUUUUUUUCUACUGUCUGCUUGACAUUUUGACAAGCUAAUUGAACAAUACCGAUUAUGACUGUGAUUUGAAUCAAGUUGUUAUUAAUGACAUCUGUGAAUUUGGUCCUUUACUUCUUAUUUCAUACAAGAUAGUGUUUUUCCCUCUUUUUUUGUUUUUCUGGUAUGGCUGGAGUUUAUGUUGGAAUCUCUUCUCUUUUACCUUCUGGUUUUCUUUCUUUUUUUGGCAUAUUUAUGAUUAGUUGUAUAGAGUUGUAAUUAGUUAUAAAUUUUCGGUUUAAUUCAAUAAACAGAUGAGGAAUUUUAUUACUAUUUGCAUAUUUAUGCUCCUUCUGGUUGACUUUGUAGUUGUUCAUAUAUUCAGCUGGUGUUUUCUCCAUGCCAAUGGAUCCUGCUCCAUGUAGAAUUCACUGGUGUUCAAAUAAAGUUUCUGGAUUGCAUUACUGUUCAUGUUUCUUCACUAAUUUUUCUAAUAAUUAUGAAAAACCUUCCAGACUACAAAUUCUUCAAUUUUGUCUCCCUUCCCACUGUACAUCUCCAAAUUGCAACUUUUAAUUUUUUUUUCCUUGCUCCACAUCUGAUGGUGAGUCAAUGAUGAAAUGGCUCUCUGUUGGUGCAUGUUUCAUUACUCAUUCAUAUCCAUCUUUAAAGUCAAGCUUUUCAUAUGUGCACCAACAUAUAAGAAAAACAAUUAUGUAAAUGUUGCUGUCAUUUGUGUUUUAUUGUUUUUUCUGAUGAAUGACCUAAUUUGACAAGACUGUAUUUUCAACCAUUAGCGAUACACUAAUGAUGUUUGGUUAAUUUAACCGUUCUAGGUGCCUUUGUAAGAUCUGUUUGUUUUCCAGGAACAGGGGAUUAAGUGCACAAGCAAGCUUUAAUAUUUGUUGAAUUUAUCAAAUUAAUUUUUAAAAAAGUGCAUUAUCACAUUAAAUUCAAAAGUUCACUAGUUUUUUUUGAUUCUGAAGAAAUGUUAUUGAUAUUUCACAAAAUGGCACUGUCAUGCAUAAUUAAGAAGCUGCUAGAAGAAACGGCAAGAAAGGGGAAAAAAAAAAAAAAAAAAAAAAAAA